GCUUUUGAAAGAUGGUUUCGGCUAUCGCUUACAGAUGGGCCCGCGGUGCAUUAGCUAGUUGGUAGGGUAAUGGCCUACCAAGGCAACGAUGCAUAGCCGACCUGAGAGGGGGAUCGGCCACACUGGGACUGAGACACGGCCCAGACUCCUACGGGAGGCAGCAGUAGGGAAUCUUCCGCAAUGGACGAAAGUCUGACGGAGCAACGCCGCGUGUAUGAAGCAGGCUUUCGGAACGUAA
This 238-nucleotide ribosomal RNA is filed under the name Listeria monocytogenes. Its description in RNAcentral is "partial 16S ribosomal RNA". It matches the Rfam family "Bacterial small subunit ribosomal RNA", at positions 196 to 428 of the family's 1533-position model. Lineage: Bacteria; Bacillati; Bacillota; Bacilli; Caryophanales; Listeriaceae. The record is from RNAcentral.